Molecule: ribosomal RNA, 433 nt
Filed under: uncultured bacterium
Lineage: Bacteria
Description: partial 16S ribosomal RNA
Rfam family: Bacterial small subunit ribosomal RNA
Source: RNAcentral
AAUGAACGCUGGCGGCAGGCCUAACACAUGCAAGUCGAGCGAAGUCUUCGGACUUAGCGGCGGACGGGUGAGUAACGCGUGGGAACAUGCCCUUUGGUUCGGAAUAGCCCCGGGAAACUGGGAGUAAUACCGCAUGUGCCCUUCGGGGGAAAGAUUUAUCGCCAAAGGAUUGGCCCGCGUUGGAUUAGGUAGUUGGUGGGGUAAUGGCCUACCAAGCCGACGAUCCAUAGCUGGUUUGAGAGGAUGAUCAGCCACACUGGGACUGAGACACGGCCCAGACUCCUACGGGAGGCAGCAGUGGGGAAUCUUAGACAAUGGGCGCAAGCCUGAUCUAGCCAUGCCGCGUGAUCGAUGAAGGCCUUAGGGUUGUAAAGAUCUUUCAGUGGGGAAGAUAAUGACGGUACCCACAGAAGAAGCCCCGGCUAACUCCGUG